UACGUAGGGGGCAAGCGUUGUCCGGAUUUAUUGGGCGUAAAGAGCUCGUAGGCGGCCUGUUAAGUCGAACGUGAAAUCCCCGGGCUCAACCCGGGAACUGCGUCCGAUACUGGCAGGCUUGAAUCCGGGAGAGGGAUGCGGAAUUCCAGGUGUAGCGGUGAAAUGCGUAGAUAUCGAGAGGAACACCUGCGGCGAAGGCGGGUUGCUGGGCUGACACUGACGCUGAUGCGCGAAAGCCAGGGGAGCGAACGGG
RNAcentral lists this ribosomal RNA (253 nucleotides) under uncultured bacterium. RNAcentral describes it as "partial 16S ribosomal RNA". It matches the Rfam family "Bacterial small subunit ribosomal RNA", at positions 524 to 776 of the family's 1533-position model. The record is from RNAcentral.